RNAcentral lists this unclassified non-coding RNA (171 nucleotides) under uncultured Trichomeriaceae. RNAcentral's name for it is "sequence contains ITS2". Lineage: Eukaryota; Fungi; Ascomycota; Eurotiomycetes; Chaetothyriales. The record is from RNAcentral.
UCCUCCCUCAAACCUCCGGGUUUGGUGUUGGACCGCGUGGGACCCUCCGGGGCACCACGGGUCUCAAAGACAAUGACGGCGUCCGUGGGACCCUCUUCGCACUGAGCUUUCCGGAGCACGCGUCGAGUUUCAAGGUGUCACGGACCCGGCCUCUAAACGAAUCUUUUUUCA